CCUACGGGAGGCAGCAGUGGGGAAUAUUGCACAAUGGGGGAAACCCUGAUGCAGCGACGCCGCGUGAGUGAAGAAGUAAUUCGUUAUGUAAAGCUCUAUCAGCAGGGAAGAAAAUGACGGUACCUGAGUAAGAAGCCCCGGCUAACUACGUGCCAGCAGCCGCGGUAAUACGUAGGGGGCAAGCGUUAUCCGGAUUUACUGGGUGUAAAGGGAGCGUAGACGGCUGUGCAAGUCUGAAGUGAAAGCCCGUGGCUCAACCGCGGAAGUGCGUUGGAAACUGUAUAGCUUGAGUACUGGAGAGGCAGGCGGAAUUCCUAGUGUAGCGGUGAAAUGCGUAGAUAUUAGGAGGAACACCAGUGGCGAAGGCGGUCUGCUGGACAGAAACUGACGUUGAGGCUCGAAAGCGUGGGGAGCAAACAGGAUUAGAUACCCUGGUAGUC
RNAcentral lists this ribosomal RNA (440 nucleotides) under uncultured bacterium. RNAcentral's name for it is "partial 16S ribosomal RNA". It matches the Rfam family "Bacterial small subunit ribosomal RNA", at positions 338 to 795 of the family's 1533-position model. The record is from RNAcentral.